This 2797-nucleotide ribosomal RNA is filed under the name Klebsiella pneumoniae. RNAcentral describes it as "bacterial LSU rRNA". It matches the Rfam family "Bacterial large subunit ribosomal RNA". The record is from RNAcentral. Lineage: Bacteria; Pseudomonadati; Pseudomonadota; Gammaproteobacteria; Enterobacterales; Enterobacteriaceae.
CGGCGAUGUCCGAAUGGGGAAACCCAGUGCAAUUCGUUGCACUAUCGUUAACUGAAUACAUAGGUUAACGAGGCGAACCGGGGGAACUGAAACAUCUAAGUACCCCGAGGAAAAGAAAUCAACCGAGAUUCCCCCAGUAGCGGCGAGCGAACGGGGAGCAGCCCAGAGUCUGAAUCAGCUUGUGUGUUAGUGGAACGGUCUGGAAAGUCCGACGGUACAGGGUGAUAGUCCCGUACACCAAAAUGCACAGGCUGUGAACUCGAAGAGUAGGGCGGGACACGUGGUAUCCUGUCUGAAUAUGGGGGGACCAUCCUCCAAGGCUAAAUACUCCUGACUGACCGAUAGUGAACCAGUACCGUGAGGGAAAGGCGAAAAGAACCCCGGCGAGGGGAGUGAAAAAGAACCUGAAACCGUGUACGUACAAGCAGUGGGAGCACCUUCGGGUGUGACUGCGUACCUUUUGUAUAAUGGGUCAGCGACUUAUAUUCUGUAGCAAGGUUAACCGUAUAGGGGAGCCGCAGGGAAACCGAGUCUUAACUGGGCGUUAAGUUGCAGGGUAUAGACCCGAAACCCGGUGAUCUAGCCAUGGGCAGGUUGAAGGUUGGGUAACACUAACUGGAGGACCGAACCGACUAAUGUUGAAAAAUUAGCGGAUGACUUGUGGCUGGGGGUGAAAGGCCAAUCAAACCGGGAGAUAGCUGGUUCUCCCCGAAAGCUAUUUAGGUAGCGCCUCGUGAACUCAUCUUCGGGGGUAGAGCACUGUUUCGGCUAGGGGGUCAUCCCGACUUACCAACCCGAUGCAAACUACGAAUACCGAAGAAUGUUAUCACGGGAGACACACGGCGGGUGCUAACGUCCGUCGUGAAGAGGGAAACAACCCAGACCGCCAGCUAAGGUCCCAAAGUCAUGGUUAAGUGGGAAACGAUGUGGGAAGGCACAGACAGCCAGGAUGUUGGCUUAGAAGCAGCCAUCAUUUAAAGAAAGCGUAAUAGCUCACUGGUCGAGUCGGCCUGCGCGGAAGAUGUAACGGGGCUAAACCAUGCACCGAAGCUGCGGCAGCGACACUAUGUGUUGUUGGGUAGGGGAGCGUUCUGUAAGCCUGCGAAGGUGUGCUGUGAGGCAUGCUGGAGGUAUCAGAAGUGCGAAUGCUGACAUAAGUAACGAUAAAGCGGGUGAAAAGCCCGCUCGCCGGAAGACCAAGGGUUCCUGUCCAACGUUAAUCGGGGCAGGGUGAGUCGACCCCUAAGGCGAGGCCGAAAGGCGUAGUCGAUGGGAAACAGGUUAAUAUUCCUGUACUUGGUGUUACUGCGAAGGGGGGACGGAGAAGGCUAUGUUAGCCGGGCGACGGUUGUCCCGGUUUAAGCAUGUAGGCUGAUUGUCCAGGCAAAUCCGGAUAAUCAAGGCUGAGGUGUGAUGACGAGGCACUACGGUGCUGAAGUAACAAAUGCCCUGCUUCCAGGAAAAGCCUCUAAGCAUCAGGUAACAUUAAAUCGUACCCCAAACCGACACAGGUGGUCAGGUAGAGAAUACCAAGGCGCUUGAGAGAACUCGGGUGAAGGAACUAGGCAAAAUGGUGCCGUAACUUCGGGAGAAGGCACGCUGGUGUGUAGGUGAAGUCCCUGCGGAUGGAGCUGAGACCAGUCGAAGAUACCAGCUGGCUGCAACUGUUUAUUAAAAACACAGCACUGUGCAAACACGAAAGUGGACGUAUACGGUGUGACGCCUGCCCGGUGCCGGAAGGUUAAUUGAUGGGGUUAUCCGUAAGGAGAAGCUCUUGAUCGAAGCCCCGGUAAACGGCGGCCGUAACUAUAACGGUCCUAAGGUAGCGAAAUUCCUUGUCGGGUAAGUUCCGACCUGCACGAAUGGCGUAAUGAUGGCCAGGCUGUCUCCACCCGAGACUCAGUGAAAUUGAACUCGCUGUGAAGAUGCAGUGUACCCGCGGCAAGACGGAAAGACCCCGUGAACCUUUACUAUAGCUUGACACUGAACAUUGAGCCUUGAUGUGUAGGAUAGGUGGGAGGCUUUGAAGCGUGGACGCCAGUCUGCGUGGAGCCAACCUUGAAAUACCACCCUUUAAUGUUUGAUGUUCUAACGUUGGCCCCUUACCGGGGUUGCGGACAGUGUCUGGUGGGUAGUUUGACUGGGGCGGUCUCCUCCCAAAGCGUAACGGAGGAGCACGAAGGUUAGCUAAUCCUGGUCGGACAUCAGGAGGUUAGUGCAAUGGCAUAAGCUAGCUUGACUGCGAGCGUGACGGCGCGAGCAGGUGCGAAAGCAGGUCAUAGUGAUCCGGUGGUUCUGAAUGGAAGGGCCAUCGCUCAACGGAUAAAAGGUACUCCGGGGAUAACAGGCUGAUACCGCCCAAGAGUUCAUAUCGACGGCGGUGUUUGGCACCUCGAUGUCGGCUCAUCACAUCCUGGGGCUGAAGUAGGUCCCAAGGGUAUGGCUGUUCGCCAUUUAAAGUGGUACGCGAGCUGGGUUUAGAACGUCGUGAGACAGUUCGGUCCCUAUCUGCCGUGGGCGCUGGAGAAUUGAGGGGGGCUGCUCCUAGUACGAGAGGACCGGAGUGGACGCAUCACUGGUGUUCGGGUUGUCAUGCCAAUGGCACUGCCCGGUAGCUAAAUGCGGAAGAGAUAAGUGCUGAAAGCAUCUAAGCACGAAACUUGCCCCGAGAUGAGUUCUCCCUGAGACUUUAAGUCUCCUGAAGGAACGUUAAAGACGAUGACGUUGAUAGGCCGGGUGUGUAAGCGCAGCGAUGCGUUGAGCUAACCGGUACUAAUGAACCGUGAGGCUUAACCUU